UAGAAACGCGGGCGGCAAGCUUAACACAUGCAAGUCGAACGGAUUAUUCUUUAUAGCUGGCUAUGGAGGAUAGUUAGUGGCAGACGGGUGAGUAAUGCAUAGGAAUCUACCUAGUAGUAUGGGAUAGCCACGAGAAAUGGUGGGUAAUACCGUAUAAUCCCUGUGGGGGAAAGAUUUAUCGCUAUUAGAUGAGCCUGUGUUAGAUUAGCUAGUUGGUAGGGUAAAGGCCUACCAAGGCGAUGAUCUAUAGCUGGUCUGAGAGGAUGAUCAGCCACACUGGGACUGAGACACGGUCCAGACUCCUACGGGAGGCAGCAGUGGGGAAUAUUGGACAAUGGGCGCAAGCUUGAUCCAGCUAUGCCGCGUGAGUGAAGAAGGCCUUAGGGUUGUAAAGCUCUUUCCCUAGGGAAGAUAUUGACGGUACCUAC
This 428-nucleotide ribosomal RNA is filed under the name Anaplasma phagocytophilum. RNAcentral describes it as "bacterial SSU rRNA". It matches the Rfam family "Bacterial small subunit ribosomal RNA", at positions 32 to 482 of the family's 1533-position model. Lineage: Bacteria; Pseudomonadati; Pseudomonadota; Alphaproteobacteria; Rickettsiales; Anaplasmataceae. The record is from RNAcentral.